GAGCUUGCUCCUUUGACGUUAGCGGCGGACGGGUGAGUAACACGUGGGUAACCUACCUAUAAGACUGGGAUAACUUCGGGAAACCGGAGCUAAUACCGGAUAAUAUUUCGAACCGCAUGGUUCGAUAGUGAAAGAUGGCUCUGCUAUCACUUAUAGAUGGACCUGCGCCGUAUUAGCUAGUUGGUAAGGUAACGGCUUACCAAGGCAACGAUACGUAGCCGACCUGAGAGGGUGAUCGGCCACACUGGAACUGAGACACGGUCCAGACUCCUACGGGAGGCAGCAGUAGGGAAUCUUCCGCAAUGGGCGAAAGCCUGACGGAGCAACGCCGCGUGAGUGAUGAAGGUCUUCGGAUCGUAAAACUCUGUUAUUAGGGAAGAACAAACGUGUAAGUAACUGUGCACGUCUUGACGGUACCUAAUCAGAAAGCCACGGCUAACUACGUGCCAGCAGCCGCGGUAAUACGUAGGUGGCAAGCGUUAUCCGGAAUUAUUGGGCGUAAAGCGCGCGUAGGCGGUUUUUUAAGUCUGAUGUGAAAG
Molecule: ribosomal RNA, 539 nt
Filed under: Staphylococcus hominis
Lineage: Bacteria; Bacillati; Bacillota; Bacilli; Caryophanales; Staphylococcaceae
Description: bacterial SSU rRNA
Rfam family: Bacterial small subunit ribosomal RNA
Source: RNAcentral